Molecule: RNA transcript, 2676 nt
Organism: Amphiprion ocellaris (clown anemonefish)
Lineage: Eukaryota; Metazoa; Chordata; Actinopteri; Pomacentridae
Gene: ccdc93
Gene name: coiled-coil domain containing 93
Exons: 24
Source: RefSeq, a predicted model, not a curated record
GUUUUAAUGUUUCUAUUUGCGUGGAGCCAAACUCAAACUUAGCAGUGAAUGACUGUCAGUCAUAUGCAGCUGUCAUGUGACCUGGCAUCAGCACUUCAGCUCAACAUGGCGGCGGGUACGUCUGUAUUCCACAGGAUGAGAACUGGCUCGAAAAUAGGAGCCCAAUACGACCAAGAAGGCAACGUCAUUCAGGUGGAAACCCGAGAGGAUGAAGAGCAGCGUGUCAAGCUGGCAGAGAUCCUGGAGCUUCUGCUGGCAGCUGGAUACUUCAGAGCCCGGAUCAAAGGACUGUCACCUUUUGAUAAGGUGGUCGGUGGUAUGACCUGGUGCAUCACAACAUGUAACUUUGACGUUGAUGUAGAUCUUCUUUUUCAAGAAAACUCAACCAUUGGCCAGAAAAUUGCCCUGACAGAGAAAAUAGUUUCUGUUCUACCAAAGAUGAAGUGUCCUCAUCGUCUGGAGCCCCAUCAAAUCCAAGGGCUGGAUUUUAUUCACAUUUUUCCAGUGAUACAGUGGCUGGUGAAGCGAGCCAUAGAGACAAGGGCAGAAAUGGGAGAUUAUGUGAGAGCAUACUCCAUUUCUCAGUUCCAGAAGACCCACAACCUCCCCGAGGAUGAAGAUUUUCUCCUCAGGAAAGACAAGGCUGUGAGGGCAGUUUUGGACGUGUUGGAUAUGUACAAACCACAGAGGAAGUACAGGAGACAGUGGGACACAGAGGAGCUGCUCGAUGAGGAAUCCAGGGUUCACUCCACUUUGCUGGAAUAUGGCAGAAUGUCAGGUUUCCUCCUACGAUAUGGAUUCAGCAAGCAAUCAAAACAUGACAAGGUAGAUCAAGGGAAUGCUCUGCUUGUCAGUGGCUCUCAAGCAACACCUCCUGGGACUGCAGAGAUAUCAGAGGACGAGAACCUGCAGGCAGCAGAGGAGAUAAGAAUCAAAACCCUGAUGACUAGUAUGGCUGCCAUGGCAAACGAAGAGGGUAAGCUGACAGCGAGUGCAGUGGGUCAGAUAGUGGGAUUGCAGUAUGAGGAGAUCAAGCAGAUUGCCUCAGAGUAUGCUGAGAAGCAGUUGGAACUGACCUCAGAGGAGCGUUCAGAGCGCUACGGCCCGCUACAGCAGCAUCGCAGGGCAGUUGCCACACUCAACAAGCAGAUCCAGCAGAAAACUAAACAGCUGGAGGAGCUACAGGCUAAGCAUGCAGAAGUGAAGACAGGCUGUGACAAGGCCAAAAGAGGACUGGUGGAGGCUACAGAACAAUCAGAAAAACUGGAGAGAGAGCUGAAAUCUUUAGAAGAGAUAGAGGAGCAGGCUGACAGUAGCCUGCUGGAAAAGCUCAGGGCUCUGGUGUCAAUGAAUGACAACCUGAAGCAGCAGGAGCAGGAGUUCCGCACACACUGCAGAGAAGAGAUGACCCGUCUGCAGCUGAACAUUCAAGAGUUGAAGUCUGCAUCAGGACAUGAUACAGAGGAGGAGAAGGAGAGGAACCAGCUGAUAGACAAACAGUACCACACAGACAGAGAGAAACUUCAAAAGAUCCGUCUGCUCAUGGCUCGGAGAAACCGUGAGAUUGCCAUAAUGCAGAGGAAACUUGAUGAAGUGCCAAGCCGAGCUGAACUGACACAAUACCAGAAGAGAUUUAUCGAACUCUACAGUCUUGUUUCUGCAACACACAAAGAGACAAAGCAGUUCUUCACACUGUAUAACACAUUGGAUGACAAGAAGGUCUACCUGGAGAAGGAGGUGAAUUUGCUGAAUUCCAUUCAUGACAACUUCCAACAAGCUAUGUCAUCGUCAGCAGCCAAGGAACAGUUCCUUAGACAAAUGGAACAAAUAGUGGAAGGAAUCAAACAGAGUCGCAUUAAGGAUUUAAAAGAUUGUUUUCCAGAUGGAGAAGAAGAAGCAGGAGAACAAAAUGAGGAGAGAUCAGCUGAACGAUGAGUACCUGGAGCUGCUUGACAAGCAGAGGCUGUACUUCAAAACUGUCAAGGAGUUUAAAGAGGAGUGUCGGAAGAAUGAGAUGCUGCUGUCCAAGCUGAGAGCUAAAGGAGCCUCUUAGCCCGGAUGGCAUGUGUUUUUAUUUGAAGUGAAAUAUGUUAACUGAUCGCAGAUGAACUACAGCAGUAUGGAGGUUUUUUGUAACAUGACACAUUUUCUGUGAGGCUGUUAGUUAGAAACAGACCAAGGACCUGGAUGUUAAGUUGUGGACAUUAUAAUUCCACUGCACUCUUAAUAUAUGCCAAUAUAUGCUGACAUCUAGUCAAGAAGUGUUGCAAUUUAGAUUCGAACAAUAUUUAGAGGCCUUUAACAAACUAUAAAUUAUGACUGUGUUUAAUGAUACUUGGCAAAUUUUAUUACUGUGGAGCUGUACAAACAAAACGCUUUGUAGCAAGUGUCAGACCGACUCUUAAUUCAAGUAAUCUUAAGUUGUAUUGGAAGUUGCACUAGUUGAGAAAUAUGUUCAUACAUCUUUAUGUUGAUUAUAAAGUGGCACUGCAAACAGAGAAGAGAUGCCGUCAAAAGAGUUGAUGUUUGAAGUUUCCUGAUGCAGCUUCAAAUGACUUUAAAUACCAUUGAUACUGUUGACGCAUACAAGUGAAGUUUGUCUUAUAGGUAUCUCUGUUAUCAUCCAGUGACAAUGUACGAUCAGUGUUUAGUGAAUAAAGGUAUGUUUCUGUCAAA